This is a long non-coding RNA of Solea solea (common sole), 497 nucleotides long. RefSeq lists it as uncharacterized. Lineage: Eukaryota; Metazoa; Chordata; Actinopteri; Pleuronectiformes; Soleidae. The record is from RefSeq and is a predicted model, not a curated record. The transcript has 4 exons.
UGAAGGUUGUGACAACGUUAGGGGAACGUUCUGGGAACCAAAUGUGCAACCAAAAACUAACAUUAGGUUUGGAAAACUUUCCAUAUCAACCACAGGAGAACCCAGGGAGAACCUUCAGGGAACGUCCCUGCAAAUAAAAGUGCUCACUGUUCAGACUCGUGCAUGGAGGACCAAAGGACUCAGAGGAAGAUACUGACCAUCAACCAUCAACCAUCAACCACCUACCAGCAGGAGUAUGAGAGUAUAUGAGAGUGAGGAACAGAACUCAACAACCAUCAACCACAAACUCAGAUGCAGCAGAAGCCACUUAAUGAAUGCAAAAGCUCUGAUCGGCCAACUGAACACCAACUGCCCACAGUGCCAGAAAAAAGAACACCAGAAAAGAGACACAAAAGAUCCGAAAUAAGAAAAAUCAUACCAGGAAAACCUAAAAUCAGCAUCCUGAGGGGAGCGACCGGACGGCAUGGGUGUGGUUGACUCGUCAGAUCUGCCCAGAA